GCCAGCUCCAUUGUGGAGGGGCGAGAUUCGCACCUGACGCGCCGAGGUACUCCGUCAGGACAGAGACCCCCAAAAAGAAGCAACCGCCCUCCUUUUUCUCAACUGGAUGGAUCACCCAAGCGGCAUGAAAAAAGGUCAACUUCGACUUGGCUGGGAAGCCCUUACUUAGAUUCACACAACCGGGCUUACAAAACACAUGGCUUGCUCAAAGAAGUCCACCUGAUUAGGGCUUAAGAGAAGAAAAACCAGCCGCAGCGGAACACGCUAAUGUCAUGGCUAGGUUUCCACAGGCUGCUGAAUACCCCAUGGUUCAUUUGUUCUGGGCGAGGUACUCUCGAGAGCCAAGAGUCAACGAUGAACCUCUGAUCUUCUCAACAUCUCUACAGUCCCAUGAACGUUGACCAGGGAGUUUUAACCACAACCUACCGUGUGGUUUUCUCAAGAGAAAUCCAAGUGAGGUCCUAACAAAAAUUCUGCAAGAAAAAAAAACCAAGCUCAGAGAGCACCGAGGACGUCAACGUUUCAAAGAAAACUUGCUACCCUCUUCAAUUUGAAAGGUUCUCAUGAGAA
Long non-coding RNA from Ahaetulla prasina, 570 nucleotides. RefSeq lists it as uncharacterized. NCBI's taxonomy places the organism in Eukaryota, Metazoa, Chordata, Lepidosauria, Squamata, Colubridae. The transcript is spliced from 3 exons. The record is from RefSeq and is a predicted model, not a curated record.